GCUUGCCUCUUGGGGUUGUAGGACACUCAAUACGGAGUGACAAAGGAACGGAGUAGACGAAGCGGUCUGGAAAGGCCCGCCAGAGGAGGUAACAGCCCUGUAGUCGAAACUUCGUUCCCUCCUGAGUGGAUCCUGAGUACGGCGGGACACGAGGAAUCCCGUCGGAAGCAGGGAGGACCAUCUCCCAAGGCUAAAUACUCCCUAGUGACCGAUAGUGAACCAGUACCGUGAGGGAAAGGUGAAAAGCACCCCGGGAGGGGAGUGAAAGAGAACCUGAAACCGUGUGCCUACAAGUAGUCAGAGCCCGUUUAUGGGUGAUGGCGUGCCUUUUGUAGAAUGAACCGGCGAGUUACGAUCUCGUGCGAGGUUAAGUCGAAAAGACGGAGCCGUAGCGAAAGCGAGUCUGAAUAGGGCGUAUAGUACGAGGUCGUAGACCCGAAACCAGGUGAUCUACCCAUGUCCAGGGUGAAGGUAGGGUAAUACCUACUGGAGGCCCGAACCCACGCACGUUGAAAAGUGCGGGGAUGAGGUGUGGGUAGGGGUGAAAUGCCAAUCGAACUUGGAGAUAGCUGGUUCUCCCCGAAAUAGCUUUAGGGCUAGCCUCGAGUUGAGAGUCUUGGAGGUAGAGCACUGAUUGGGCUAGGGGCCCUCAUCGGGUUACCGAACUCAGUCAAA
RNAcentral lists this ribosomal RNA (675 nucleotides) under Campylobacter jejuni. RNAcentral's name for it is "partial 23S ribosomal RNA". It matches the Rfam family "Bacterial large subunit ribosomal RNA", at positions 283 to 953 of the family's 2925-position model. The record is from RNAcentral. Lineage: Bacteria; Pseudomonadati; Campylobacterota; Epsilonproteobacteria; Campylobacterales; Campylobacteraceae.